This 253-nucleotide ribosomal RNA is filed under the name uncultured bacterium. RNAcentral describes it as "partial 16S ribosomal RNA". It matches the Rfam family "Bacterial small subunit ribosomal RNA", at positions 524 to 776 of the family's 1533-position model. The record is from RNAcentral.
GACAGAGGGGGCAAGCGUUGCUCGGAAUUACUGGGCGUAAAGGGCGCGUAGGCGGGAUGGCAAGUCGGUCGUGAAAUCCCUCGGCUCAACCGAGGAACGUCGAUCGAUACUGCUGUUCUUGAGGAUUGCAGAGGAGACUGGAAUUCCCGGUGUAGCGGUGAAAUGUGUAGAGAUCGGGAGGAACACCGGUGGCGAAGGCGGUUCUCUGGGCCUGUACUGACGCUGAGGAGCGAAAGCGUGGGGAGCGAACAGG